RNAcentral lists this long non-coding RNA (202 nucleotides) under Eutrema salsugineum. RNAcentral's name for it is "long non-coding RNA (ESAL_LNC001901)". The record is from RNAcentral. Lineage: Eukaryota; Viridiplantae; Streptophyta; Magnoliopsida; Brassicales; Brassicaceae.
UACUUCGCGAACCAAACGGUUGAUUUCCUCGCGCGACAAAAAGACAGGGGAUGAGGAGUCACCUUGUGACUGUUGACUGCUCUCGAUGGUCUGCGUCACCUUCUCAUAAAUUCAUUCAUUAGAGGAUCCUGAAUCACAUUGCUCCCCUUCUUUGUGUGCACCUUCUUCAUCACCUGAGGAUGAUCUGGAUGCACUCCUCCAG